AUUACUGGACAGUGACAGAACUCAGGUUCAGCAUUCACAAAUACAAAUAGAUGGAAUUCAAAGAGAAAACAUCAGCCUAUCGAGAUGUAAUAUGAUGCAAACAGACAUGUUAAAACCAUGAAGUUAAAAUAACAACAAAGACAGAAGAGAAACGACCCCACAGAGAUGCAAUGUGACCACAAAGAGACACAAAGAUACUAAAAGGAGCUACAAAAAACCACAAAGAGGCAGAAAGUUAUUACAGACAAAGCGACACCAGACACGUCUGUGUUUUUACAAACGUGUCAGUGAGAGCAAAGGUUCAGACAGCAUUUAAACUCUACCGACAUACACUCGAUACAGAUUUUAACAAGUUUGAAUUUACUGAACAAGCUAUAGGCAACACCUCGACUGUGCAAGCGUAUACCUGGAAAAAAAAGAUGUUAGAUGUCCUAAAAAUGUGGGAAACAACCAUUUAUUUCAUCUCUCAAACACUUUAGGUCAAAGGGGAUCACAUUUUCAUAUAUACACAGGGAACAGAAACCCCCAAAGGUUUGGACAUGAGCAAACUUUAUAAAGAUUGGAACAUGCACUCCCCAGAUACUUUAUUAUGAACACAUUGCUAGUGCUGGGCUGGAUGCCUUUGUUCAUUCAGAACUGCCUCAAUUCUUCACAGCACAGAUUCAAGGUGGUGGACCCUCAGAGAUUCUGGUCCGUGUUGACGUGACGGCAUCACACAGUUGCUGCAGAUUUGUCGGCUGCACAUCCACGAUGGGAAUCUCACAUUCCACCACAUCCCAAAGGCGCUGCGCUAGGUUGAGAUCUGGUGACUGUGGAGGCCAUUGGAGUGCAGAGAACUGGUUCAAGAAACCAAUUUUGAGAUGAUUUGAGCUUUGUGACGCUGUGUGCUGGACGCAGCCAUCAGAAGAUGGGUACAGUGUGGUCAUAAAGGGAUGGACAUGGUGAGCAAUAAUACUCAGGCAUGCUGUGGCAUUUAAAUUAUGCUCAUUUAUUUCUGAGGGGCCCAAAGCAGGCCAAGAAAAUAUCCCCCACCAAUCUGAAGCACAGUUGUGCUGUGUGUGGGCCUCCGCACCUGUGUGAAAUGUAGGGCGGCUCACAUCUAUAAUGUGGGCAUAUUGUGGGUACACCAUGGGCCCUCACUGUGGGCCUCUCUCUGCUUAGUGUGGGCUGUCCACACUAAACUGUCAGCGUGGUUCAUAUUUCACACCUGUACUGGGCCCUAUUGGGGUCUGUUCAUACCCUGAGUGGGCUUUUUGCAGGGUUUUCACCCAGAAUUAUCGCUCACUGGAUAUUUCUCUUUCUCAGAUAACUCUACACGUGAUUAAUUAGAUCAGCAGUUUCUGAACCACUCAGCCCAUCUAGCACCAACAAUCAUGUCAGGUUAAAAGUCACUGAGAUUACUUCUCUUCCCCAUUCUGAUAGGAGGUUUAAUCUUGAAAUGUGAGUUGUUGCAAUGUGAUUGGCUGAUUAGAUAAUUGCAUGGUGUACCUAACAAAGCGACUAGUGAGUUCUUAUGAAGGAGAAAAGCUGUUAAAAGAGAGAGCAGGAGCUUAAAAUCUCUUCCCAAAGGUCCCAAACCACAACGCCUACCUCAGUAACACCUCUGAGGUUUACACAUGCUUCCGCUGGGUCAUCUCACCUUUCUUGGAGAGACCCCGCCCCCACCCCCACUGCCAACAGUGCCCCAAAAGGAAAGUCCUUCCUGUUGCAACACCUCGGGCCCUCCAGUGAGUGUUGUUCAGGAGACGAGUUAUAACAGGCAGCGUUAUCUGUAGUUGUAUUGGAAAAAAACAAAAGGCAAAGGAAAUGAUGCAAGUUCCAUCAAGGAUGAAGUCUGUCAUACAGACUCGGCAAUAAUGAAAAAAAUCUUGAAAUAAUAUCUGACGACAUUAACUGUUUCCACUUAAAUCCCAUUAACUGUUUUUGGAAUUACAGUCAUUCUGUGCCUCUCACUGCAUUUAGGAUCUUUUUUUCCCCAAUGCCUGAAAAAGAUGCUCUUACUAGGUUGAUAUCCGGUUUCUCACUUGGCCAUGGAAGACUAUCCCAUUUCUCUGGAAAUUCACAGUAAUUACAGAUUACGUUUUUCUUUUUAACUUUUUCAUAAUCAAAAUGUAAUUUUUCCCCACCUAAAUUAAACUAGCCCUGCUGGUACCAAUAGUUGAGAUUCAUUGGCCUGAUGAAAUAACAGAAUGUAAAGUUGGGGAGUUUACUAUAAAAUGCAGUCGUGUGUAAGUUUUGCUGAAGCACAUUAAACAGAGGCUCUGAGGUCACGCAUGUCAUUUCCUGCAUAUUUUUGUGCAUCAACUUCUACCUUUUCUUCAUUAGCAUCCAGGUGUAAGUUGUGGAGGCAGCAAUUCUAAGCAGAGAUACCCAGACCUGCCUCUCCUCAGCCACUUCCUCCAGCUCUUCUUGGGGGACGCCAGGCCAUUCCCAAGAGGCACGAGCCCCCCAGUGUGUCCUGGUCUACCCAGGGGUCUCCUCCCAGGUGGACAUGCCUGAAACAGCUCACCUUCUAGUUGCCCCUGAAGGCAUCGCAGUCAGAUGUAGCGGGCCUACUUUGAGCUCAUUUCCAAGACUAUUACCCACGAUCUUCUUCAGUCAUUAAUCACAGCUCGUGGCCAUCGGUCAAGCAGUAAAUCAACAGCUUUGCUUUCAUGCUCAACUUUUGGUGCAGCAUCCACAUUAUGAGACCCUCCACCUUUUGGCUGCGAUUCUAAGCAGAGCUGCCGAAAGAGAGCUUCCCCGAGUAGCAACUGAACAGAACACUGCACAUUUGCAGGCAUGAUUCACCCUCCCGUCCUCCUUGGUGCUUGUUUGUACUGAGAACCCUCACGAACGGAAUGUGGACAACUUUGUGCAAAUUGGAGCACGUCACACACGUCUGUGUUUUGGAAAUGAACUUUAGUGCAUCGUGUACAUCUCGAGUAAGAAAACUUGGUCAGGCACAGAUCGGAUACCAAACAGGAAAAAACACCAGCCUUUUAAUACCAAUGCAAAUACUCUGAAUGUGCUAUUGAGCAAUGCAGUCAACCUAAACAAUAAAAAGUGUUAUUAAGGAGCUUUCAGCAUCUCUUUGCAUGGUACAAAAUGAGCAGCAGGAAAGUGACUAAGCAUGUCGCUCUCUCUGGAGGCUGAAAUAAAAUAGAGAAGCAAAUGAGACAAAAACAUACAGCUUGACCACCGACUGUUUUAAUUCCUCUGACGUAAAUGAAUGACACUCAUGGGAAACAUCUUACAAAACUUCCUCAUGCACCAGUUACAAAAGUACAAACUGAAACAAGACUCCCUCUUUCUUUCACAACACAGCUUUGGUUGAAGCUGGGUUAUUUUCAGGUUAGACCGCCAUUAUUUUCCCUUAUAAUGUUUUCCAGCACAUCACAACAAAGACAGUCACGAGGUGCAAACACGUGAUAGCGAGUGCCGUUUAGUACACGGAGCAGCUUGGAAACCAUAUGAUUUACUGUAAAUGUUAAGACACACUGGAAUGUUACACGACAAGAAUAAGGAAGCAGACCAGGAAUUCCUUUCAUAUUCAGCCGGGCUGUCAUAUCAGAGCUUUCUGUCCAAUUAUGGCCAUUUUAUGAAUUUCAGAUAGUGAAUAAAAAACCAACAAAAAAACAUGAGUCAGAUGAUGAAAGUCAGACGGUUUAAAAACCUCUGUCAGCUCCGUCUUUCCUCACAUCUACACAGGCAGAAACUUUAACGACCCACGCGGCCACAACAGGACCAUUUACGUGAAACUCCAGGUCGAAAUAAACCCGUGUUUUUUCUUUAACCCCACUGAUGUCAACAAUCCAUUUACAGCACAAAUCACAAACUGUUUCAUUGUAGUUGUUGCUUCAUAUUCGUCUGUGUGCCUCACAGCCUGUUGCACCAGCUGUGUUUAGGUUUGCACAUUUCCUGCAAUUUCUUUUAGCGAUUUUGCAAUUAGCUACAGUCAUGGUAACGAGAAAGCACACCCUCUAUCACUUCUUAAGUUUUAAAUAUCAGGAGAUAAAAGUCAUUUGCUCCUUAUCGGGUUCUAAAAUUUCGUAAAUCCAACUCAGAUAAACUACAAUAGACGACGUUCAGACAAUGAGUCAUUGUUUAUUUCACAGAAACUAAACCCUGAGGCAGAAGCAGCGUGUGAAACACUAGAUGCACCCUCACUGCUUCCAUAGGAACUAAGCGGUUUAGCAGCCUGGUGCUGAGAGUCAGAUGCACUCGAUUAACUGAUCAUCAGCAAGUGUGCAAACUUUGGCAGUUUGCUCGUCUCUUAACAUAAUACCAAGGAGGAAAGACAUCAGCAGACAAGGCUUGUGAGGUCAGCCUGGGCUGGUUUCCUCUUAUCUGUGUUUAUAUGUGUAAAAGCCACAACCAACAGAGUGCUCGCUCUCACAGCGUCAUACAAAGGAUUGUCCUGAGAAUCAGGACACAGUGGGGAAAAAAGGCAUUAUUCCCGUUUAAUCUGGAAUAAUCUACGGAAGGAGCUGACAUUGUCAGAAAUGGUUGCCAUGGGGGAGUUUAAGUGCAUUUUAAAGGAGAAAAACUCUUUUAGUCAGUGUGACUGUUUUUAAUGUAGCUCUUAAUGAUCUGCUGUUGCAUACCAUCCACACCUGUGCUCACUCGUCAGUGUGGAAUAUUGUAUUUGCUUUUUACUUCUUACGUGUUGUAGUUGUUGUAACCUUUGUGCAGGACUCUCUUGGAAAUUUGUCCAACUUUCUACAGUGAGAAAGAUUAUUCACAAGUGGAAGCAUUCGAGAUUGCUGCACAUCUUAGGUUCGCAAAGCUGAAGAAAACAAGACUUCUGGAACAAAUCAUGAGAGCAAAGCGGAGACGUCUGUCCACAACACAGAGCGACACGUUUGGAGAAGCUAAACACUGCACCUCGUGUCUGCUGUCAGCACGGUGGUGGAGGCGUGAAGAUUUGGUCUUGUUUUACAGCCACAGAAACGAGAUUCACUCAAAGUCCAGACCUCAACCGGACGGAGGUGCUGCGGUGGGACGUAAAGGUGGUUCUACAAGCUGCUGAAUCACGGCGUGUCUUUAGGAUUUCACACACUGCUUCUGCAUUGUGGCUUAGAUUUAGUUAAAUAAUGACACGAUGUAAUGUGCCCUGUGCGGUUGUUCAUCUGGGGCUGUGUUUAAAUCAUUUUAAUGUGAGUUUUAUGACGUUCUCAGUCACCCAGGUCAUGGUAGUCUGAGGAGCUUGGACUUCUUUAAAUUUCCUGAAGCUGUUUCACCUCUGAUCCAAGAAGCUUCUUCAGUCUUCCAAGCUCCUCAGACCACAGCUCGUAAUAAUGAUCCACUGGCUUCAUUUUCCAGCCCAGGAGGUUGCUGCUUGGUAAUAAUAGUAAAUAAAAAGACAAACAAAAACAAAAAUGAGAUGAUAUUUUGCAUACUGGAAUAAAUAACAAAAAAAAAA
This is a long non-coding RNA of Oreochromis aureus, 5404 nucleotides long. RefSeq lists it as uncharacterized. The record is from RefSeq and is a predicted model, not a curated record. NCBI's taxonomy places the organism in Eukaryota, Metazoa, Chordata, Actinopteri, Cichliformes, Cichlidae. The transcript is spliced from 2 exons.